RNAcentral lists this long non-coding RNA (1903 nucleotides) under Fragaria vesca (wild strawberry). Its description in RNAcentral is "long non-coding RNA (FVES_LNC001856)". Lineage: Eukaryota; Viridiplantae; Streptophyta; Magnoliopsida; Rosales; Rosaceae. The record is from RNAcentral.
GUUGUUGUUCUUCAAUUUGGUGUUUUGUUUUAAUUUAGUUUCUUUCUUACAAAGGUACAAGCUCCUAUAUUUCUUCUGGUUUCAGAAACAUCUUUAUAAACUUUGGGAAGGAAUUUGUAUAGUUACAAUUAUAUGAAUUCUACUUUUGUCACUACCAGAAGAAAGGCUUUAGCAGACAAAAAUAAAAAAACCAGGCCGACGAAUUAUUUUGUCGUCAGCUAAAGUCCACGUUCGCCGACGAAAUUUUCCUUCGUCGGCUAAUUUAAAUUUUCGUUGGCUAUAGUCAACUUUAGCCGACGAAAUUAAAAUUUCGUCGGCUAAAUAUUUUUUUUCGUUCGGCUAAAGUGCCUUAUAUUUGCAGAUCUGGACAGUAGCACAUCUUCGGUGGUUAUUUUUCGUAAAAUUUUUAUACGACUUGCUGCAUCUCAUCAAUUUAAAAUUAUUUUCAGUUGAAGGUCCGGCAAAAAUACGUAAUUUAGACGGUCCAAUGACCUUUUCCGUGCAUUUAGGGGUUUGGCUUACGGGAUUGACCUUCCGGAUCGAGCCCUUAACCUUGUCGGAUCAAGUUGAAUUUUUUCCCAUACAUAUAUUUUAUCAUGAUGGUCAGAUCUGAUGGUCGGAUUUUCGUUUCUCAAGUUUGAUCAUCACAAUCACAACAUGCCUACUAAUGUUGUAUAACUUGGGAAGUGUUAAGUAAAUGUUCCGUUUUAAAAACAAACUAUACGUAGAUCCUUCAAACGCAAAAAAGUCGUGAAAUAAGAUAUGACCAAAAUGGUGAAAUACGUCUACGGUUGAAAAAUCACGGUAUUCCGGUAAACUCUCGGUGCCGAUAGUUGUGGUCAAUGCAAUUUUCCAUUCUUUCUCCCUAUGGGUAGCCCUAUCUUCGGUGGUUAUUUUCGUAAAAUUUUUAUAAGACUUGUUGCGUCUCAUUGAUUUGAAACUAUUUUCAGUUGAAGGUCCGGCCAAAAUACAUAAUUUAAACGGCCCAAUGACCUUUUUCAUGCGUUUAGGGGUUUGACUUACGGGAUUGACCGUCCGGAUCGAGCCCUUAACCUUGUCGGAUCAAGUUGAAUUUUUUCCCAUACAUGUAUUUUAUCAUGAUGGUCAGAUCUGACGGUCAGAUUUUCAUUUCUCAAGUUUGAUCAUCACAAUCACAAUGUGCUGAAUGUAUAAAAAGUACUAUAGCCGACGACAUUAUUUAAAAUUCGUCGACUAUAGUUAAUAAAAUAAAAUAAAACAAAUAAAUUGAAAAUAUUAAAUAAAAAGUACUAUAGCCGACGAAUUUCAUUACUUUAGCCGACGAGAUUUACAGGUUUAGCUGACGAAAUAAGAAUUUCGUCGGCUAAAGGUUAAACCCAGCGCUCCAAAAAACCCUAAAAAACCCACCACCGCCUCCUCGAGCCCUCCACAGCCUCCUCGAGCCAUUUCCGUUCUGCUCUAGCCACGAUCCCUCCUCCUCUUCACUGUCCUCCCUUCGCAUUCUGCUCGCACUAGCUUCAGGUUGGUCCUCAUUCCCUCACAUUUUCGGUAAUCCACGGCAGCUUUUGUCAUUCCUUUAAAUUACAGAGCUUCCGAUUCUUCUCCUUUUCAGUUCUCGCGUUCUACGCUCUUCCGGCGGCCUCGGUUUCGUCGCCGAGAUCCAAUUGCUACGUCUUCGAUUUUCGUCGAUUUUGUAUCCUUUCUGAAACGACUAGUUUUGGCUUUUGAAUUGCUCAGUGAUAGUUAGCAUUGCUUCAAGUUUGGGAUUUGAUUUUGUUUCAAGUUGUUUUUCUCUUAAUUUGAUGAUCAGAGUAGCUGGAUUAGACAUCAUUUUGAGUAUGAAGGGAAGGUAAUUUCAAUUUUUCAUUAUGUUUAGUGUUGUAAUUUUCAUCUGGAAGUUUGAAUGUGAUUGAUAAUGUAAUCC